RNAcentral lists this long non-coding RNA (281 nucleotides) under Sorghum bicolor (sorghum). RNAcentral's name for it is "long non-coding RNA (SBIC_LNC017298)". Lineage: Eukaryota; Viridiplantae; Streptophyta; Magnoliopsida; Poales; Poaceae. The record is from RNAcentral.
UAGCAAAUAAACAAUUUUGUGGAAAUUUAAAAUUUAUCAUAAGCUUAGUAACAUGAUUUUGUGCAUUCAUGCUGAGACAUAUUUUAUUUUGUGUUGAUUGUAUUUAGUUUAUAUUUAAUUGUCCUCAAAAUCCUUUUUGAAAAAGGUUUUAAAAAAAAAUAAAACAAAACAGAAAAAAAAAAGAAAGGAAGCCUUCCAGGCCGAGGCCCAGCUCCCCUCCCCCGCGCCCCUCUGCCUUGGCUCGCUGACGAGCCGGCCCCGCAGCACAGCGCCUCCCCCUU